Molecule: ribosomal RNA, 253 nt
Filed under: uncultured bacterium
Lineage: Bacteria
Description: partial 16S ribosomal RNA
Rfam family: Bacterial small subunit ribosomal RNA
Source: RNAcentral
UACGAAGGGGGCUAGCGAUGGUCGGACUUACUGGGCGUAAAGCGCACGUGGGCGGCUUGGCUAGUCAGGGGUGAAAUCCCGGAGCUCAACUCCGGAACUGCCUUUGAUACUGCCUGUCUAGAGUCCGGAAGAGGUGGGUGGAAUUCCUAGUGCAGAGGUGAAAUUCGCAGAUAUUAGGAAGAACACCAUUGGCGAGGGCCGGCCACUGGUCCGGAACUGACGCUGAGGCGCGAAAGCGUGGGGAGCAAACAGG